ACGGAAGUUUUCUUUUUUUCUAGGCAACAAUCCCUAUUCCACGUUCUCGCUGCUUAUUCUAUUUACAACACGGAGGUUGGAUACUGUCAGGGGAUGAGCCACAUCACAGCCUUACUCCUCAUGUACAUGAAUGAAGAGGACGCCUUCUGGGCCCUCGUCAAGCUCUUCUCGGGCCCCAAACAUGCCAUGCAUGAGCAUGGGCCUGGAAUUGAUAUGUUUACACCGGGUAAACCUGGAGAUUAUGACUUGGAAGGUGGUAUAUGGGAAGAUGAAGAUGCUCGGAAUUUUUAUGAAAAACCUCAUUGAUUUGAGAGCUUUUUUUCCAGCCAUCUUGUUUAAAGAUAAUGAAAAAAGUUGUCAGAAUAAAGAUUCCAACAAGGAUGAUUCUAAAGAAGCAAAAGAACCUAAGGAUAAUAAGGAGGUACCGAAUCCUGAUGACCUGGAACUCGAGUUGGAGAACCUAGAGAUUAAUGAUGAUGCUUUGGAGUUAGAGGGUGGAGAUGAAGCUGAAGAUCUUACAAAGAAACUUCUUGAUGAGCAAAAACAAGAGGAUGAAGAAGCCAGCACUGGAUCUCAUCUCAAGCUCAUAGUAGAUGCUUUCCUCCAGCAGUUGCCCAGCUGUGUCAACCGUGAUCUGAUAGACAAGGUAUGAUUGUCUCUAGGUAACUUUACUCAAGCACAUAGACCUUGUAGGAUAGCUCUAAUUAGGAAUGUCUGUGGUUUUUGGACUGUUUUGGCCAUAGAAUGAACCAUUUCUUCAAAUGGAAUCUUACAUGGGAAUCCAAAAUAAACACACAGUUGGAACCGGUUUGUUGAUCUUACGUUUGGGGUGGAACUGUCUCUAGGAUCCUGUUGGCUUGACUCUGCCCUUCAUGUAGGGAUGCCACGGUUUGGAAAAUACUGUUAGACCAGAAGUCCUUAAAGUGUGCUUUGUAGGUUCUUGAUGUCAUCUGAGGCACUUUCAGGGGCUCUGUAAAGUCAAAAAACUUUUUAUACUAGUACUAGGAUUUUCCCCACCGCUUGUUCAGUGUUUUCAACAUUUGCAAAAGUGAUGAUGGGUCAAGUUGCUGGUGUUUUAACGUGGAUCAUAACGCAGUGGCAGCAAACUGGAGUAGUGGCCAUUGUGUUCUUCGUAGCCAUGAAUUUGCAAUUAAAAAAA
Non-coding RNA from Vicugna pacos (alpaca), 1159 nucleotides. The record is from RefSeq and is a predicted model, not a curated record. Lineage: Eukaryota; Metazoa; Chordata; Mammalia; Artiodactyla; Camelidae.